This 333-nucleotide ribosomal RNA is filed under the name Triticum aestivum (bread wheat). RNAcentral's name for it is "partial small subunit ribosomal RNA". Lineage: Eukaryota; Viridiplantae; Streptophyta; Magnoliopsida; Poales; Poaceae. The record is from RNAcentral.
AUGGAAGGGCAAAUUGAUGAAUCGGGCAGGCUGCAGGGUGCUGGUGCAUGCAGUCCUCUCUAUGCUACCCACCUUCGCCCUCAUUGUGCUCCGGUGCCGAAGAGGAUUCUAAAAGAGAUCAAUAAGACACGACGCCGUUUCCUUUGGGCACAGGAGGACUCGUUGGCCGGUGGUAAAUGCAAAUUGGCAUGGAAUUCAGUCUGCUCGCCAAUAGACAGGGGGGCUAGGCAUCCCAAACUUGCAGCGCUUCAGCAUUGUUCUUUGUCUCUGCUGGCUCUAGCUAUCCUGGCAGCUGUUGCAACGGCCGUGGAUGGCAUUCCCUCUCGCUGCUGA